This 253-nucleotide ribosomal RNA is filed under the name uncultured Flavobacteriaceae bacterium. Its description in RNAcentral is "partial 16S ribosomal RNA". It matches the Rfam family "Bacterial small subunit ribosomal RNA", at positions 10 to 293 of the family's 1533-position model. Lineage: Bacteria; Pseudomonadati; Bacteroidota; Flavobacteriia; Flavobacteriales; Flavobacteriaceae. The record is from RNAcentral.
AGUUUGAUCCUGGCUCAGAGCGAACGCUGGCGGCAGGCUUAACACAUGCAAGUCGAACGCUCCGCAAGGAGAGUGGCAGACGGGUGAGGAACACGUGGGAACAUACCUUUCAGUUCGGAAUAACUCAGGGAAACUUGAGCUAAUACCGGAUACGUCCGCAAGGAGAAAGAUUUAUCGCUGAAAGAUUGGCCCGCGUCUGAUUAGCUAGUUGGUGAGGUAAUGGCUCACCAAGGCGACGAUCAGUAGCUGGCCU